UACGUAGGGUCCGAGCGUUGUCCGGAAUCAUUGGGCGUAAAGAGCGUGUAGGCGGCUUGGUAGGUCACGUGUUAAAGCCUGCGGCUCAACCGCAGAAUCGCACGUGAAACCACCUGGCUAGAGUCCGGAAGAGGAGAGCGGAAUUCCUGGUGUAGCGGUGAAAUGCGCAGAUAUCAGGAAGAACACCCGUGGCGAGGGCGGCUCUCUGGGACGGUACUGACGCUGAGACGCGAAAGCGUGGGGAGCGAACAGG
RNAcentral lists this ribosomal RNA (253 nucleotides) under uncultured bacterium. RNAcentral describes it as "partial 16S ribosomal RNA". It matches the Rfam family "Bacterial small subunit ribosomal RNA", at positions 524 to 776 of the family's 1533-position model. The record is from RNAcentral.